AAUCUUCGAUUUGAUGGAAAAAGUCAAAGUGUUUGAUUUUAUCAAAUUUGAAGACGAAUUGUGUGUUUACAAGAAGAUAGUGGGAGCAUUGUCGUAUUCCUAAUAUUAUAGAAAACGACAUCCCUAUGUUUUAAUCGUUGAAAUAAUGGUUGUUAAAGGAUUUAUUCAUGAACGAUAUGUGAUAAGCAACUUGAUCUAUAGAG
Molecule: long non-coding RNA, 203 nt
Filed under: Olea europaea (common olive)
Lineage: Eukaryota; Viridiplantae; Streptophyta; Magnoliopsida; Lamiales; Oleaceae
Description: long non-coding RNA (OEUR_LNC013986)
Source: RNAcentral